RNAcentral lists this ribosomal RNA (454 nucleotides) under Algibacter sp. 12-64. Its description in RNAcentral is "bacterial SSU rRNA". It matches the Rfam family "Bacterial small subunit ribosomal RNA", at positions 55 to 501 of the family's 1533-position model. The record is from RNAcentral. Lineage: Bacteria; Pseudomonadati; Bacteroidota; Flavobacteriia; Flavobacteriales; Flavobacteriaceae.
AUGCAAGUCGAGGGGUAACAUAGAGAAGCUUGCUUUUCUGAUGACGACCGGCGCACGGGUGCGUAACGCGUAUAGAAUCUACCUUUUGCUGAGGAAUAGCCCAGAGAAAUUUGGAUUAAUGCCUCAUAGUAUGCAGACCUUCUCAUGAAGAUUGCAUUAAAGGUUACGGCAAAAGAUGACUAUGCGUCCUAUUAGCUAGAUGGUAAGGUAACGGCUUACCAUGGCGACGAUAGGUAGGGGCCCUGAGAGGGGGAUCCCCCACACUGGUACUGAGACACGGACCAGACUCCUACGGGAGGCAGCAGUGAGGAAUAUUGGACAAUGGAGGCAACUCUGAUCCAGCCAUGCCGCGUGCAGGAAGACUGCCCUAUGGGUUGUAAACUGCUUUUAUACAGGAAGAAACAUCUCUACGUGUAGAGACUUGACGGUACUGUAAGAAUAAGGAUCGGCUAGC